This 617-nucleotide ribosomal RNA is filed under the name uncultured bacterium. RNAcentral's name for it is "bacterial SSU rRNA". It matches the Rfam family "Bacterial small subunit ribosomal RNA", at positions 338 to 944 of the family's 1533-position model. The record is from RNAcentral.
CCUACGGGAGGCAGCAGUGGGGAAUUUUGGACAAUGGGCGAAAGCCUGAUCCAGCCAUGCCGCGUGCAGGAUGAAGGCCUUCGGGUUGUAAACUGCUUUUGUACGGAACGAAAAGGUCUUUUCUAAUAAAGAAGGCUCAUGACGGUACCGUAAGAAUAAGCACCGGCUAACUACGUGCCAGCAGCCGCGGUAAUACGUAGGGUGCGAGCGUUAAUCGGAAUUACUGGGCGUAAAGCGUGCGCAGGCGGUUAUAUAAGACAGUUGUGAAAUCCCCGGGCUCAACCUGGGAACUGCAUCUGUGACUGUAUAGCUAGAGUACGGUAGAGGGGGAUGGAAUUCCGCGUGUAGCAGUGAAAUGCGUAGAUAUGCGGAGGAACACCGAUGGCGAAGGCAAUCCCCUGGACCUGUACUGACGCUCAUGCACGAAAGCGUGGGGAGCAAACAGGAUUAGAUACCCUGGUAGUCCACGCCCUAAACGAUGUCAACUGGUUGUUGGGUCUUCACUGACUCAGUAACGAAGCUAACGCGUGAAGUUGACCGCCUGGGGGAGUACGGCCGCAAGGUUGAAACUUAAAGGAAUUGACGGCUUGNGNGNGCGAGCGACGACGAGGAGGAGG